GUCUAUGGCCAUGCUACCCUGAACAAGCCCGAUCCUAUCUGAUUUGGAAGCUAAGCAGGGUCGGGCCUGGUUAGUACUUGGUUAGGAGACCACCUAGGAAGACCAGGUGCUGUAGGUG
This 118-nucleotide ribosomal RNA is filed under the name Pteropus alecto (black flying fox). Lineage: Eukaryota; Metazoa; Chordata; Mammalia; Chiroptera; Pteropodidae. The record is from RNAcentral.